Molecule: ribosomal RNA, 629 nt
Filed under: Escherichia coli
Lineage: Bacteria; Pseudomonadati; Pseudomonadota; Gammaproteobacteria; Enterobacterales; Enterobacteriaceae
Description: partial 23S ribosomal RNA
Rfam family: Bacterial large subunit ribosomal RNA
Source: RNAcentral
CAGCCCAGAGCCUGAAUCAGUGUGUGUGUUAGUGGAAGCGUCUGGAAAGGCGUGCGAUACAGGGUGACAGCCCCGUACACAAAAAUGCACAUACUGUGAGCUCGAUGAGUAGGGCGGGACACGUGGUAUCCUGUCUGAAUAUGGGGGGACCAUCCUCCAAGGCUAAAUACUCCUGACUGACCGAUAGUGAACCAGUACCGUGAGGGAAAGGCGAAAAGAACCCCGGCGAGGGGAGUGAAAAAGAACCUGAAACCGUGUACGUACAAGCAGUGGGAGCACGCUUAGGCGUGUGACUGCGUACCUUUUGUAUAAUGGGUCAGCGACUUAUAUUCUGUAGCAAGGUUAACCGAAUAGGGGAGCCGAAGGGAAACCGAGUCUUAACUGGGCGUUAAGUUGCAGGGUAUAGACCCGAAACCCGGUGAUCUAGCCAUGGGCAGGUUGAAGGUUGGGUAACACUAACUGGAGGACCGAACCGACUAAUGUUGAAAAAUUAGCGGAUGACUUGUGGCUGGGGGUGAAAGGCCAAUCAAACCGGGAGAUAGCUGGUUCUCCCCGAAAGCUAUUUAGGUAGCGCCUCGUGAAUUCAUCUCCGGGGGUAGAGCACUGUUUCGGCAAGGGGGUCAUCCCGA